Molecule: ribosomal RNA, 819 nt
Filed under: Streptomyces sp. VC-YC6676
Lineage: Bacteria; Bacillati; Actinomycetota; Actinomycetes; Kitasatosporales; Streptomycetaceae
Description: bacterial SSU rRNA
Rfam family: Bacterial small subunit ribosomal RNA
Source: RNAcentral
GGAUUAGUGGCGAACGGGUGAGUAACACGCUGGGCAAUCUGCCCUUCACUCUGGGACAAGCCCUGGAAACGGGGUCUAAUACCGGAUAACACUCUGUCCCGCAUGGGACGGGGUUAAAAGCUCCGGCGGUGAAGGAUGAGCCCGCGGCCUAUCAGCUUGUUGGUGGGGUAAUGGCCUACCAAGGCGACGACGGGUAGCCGGCCUGAGAGGGCGACCGGCCACACUGGGACUGAGACACGGCCCAGACUCCUACGGGAGGCAGCAGUGGGGAAUAUUGCACAAUGGGCGAAAGCCUGAUGCAGCGACGCCGCGUGAGGGAUGACGGCCUUCGGGUUGUAAACCUCUUUCAGCAGGGAAGAAGCGAAAGUGACGGUACCUGCAGAAGAAGCGCCGGCUAACUACGUGCCAGCAGCCGCGGUAAUACGUAGGGCGCAAGCGUUGUCCGGAAUUAUUGGGCGUAAAGAGCUCGUAGGCGGCUUGUCACGUCGGAUGUGAAAGCCCGGGGCUUAACCCCGGGUCUGCAUUCGAUACGGGCUAGCUAGAGUGUGGUAGGGGAGAUCGGAAUUCCUGGUGUAGCGGUGAAAUGCGCAGAUAUCAGGAGGAACACCGGUGGCGAAGGCGGAUCUCUGGGCCAUUACUGACGCUGAGGAGCGAAAGCGUGGGGAGCGAACAGGAUUAGAUACCCUGGUAGUCCACGCCGUAAACGUUGGGAACUAGGUGUUGGCGACAUUCCACGUCGUCGGUGCCGCAGCUAACGCAUUAAGUUCCCCGCCUGGGGAGUACGGCCGCAAGGCUAAAACUCAAAGGAAUUGACGGGGG